This 70-nucleotide transfer RNA is filed under the name Lipolagus ochotensis (eared blacksmelt). RNAcentral's name for it is "tRNA-Tyr". It matches the Rfam family "tRNA". From Rfam's summary of the family: Transfer RNA (tRNA) molecules are approximately 80 nucleotides in length. Their secondary structure includes four short double-helical elements and three loops (D, anti-codon, and T loops). Further hydrogen bonds mediate the characteristic L-shaped molecular structure. tRNAs have two regions of fundamental functional importance: the anti-codon, which is responsible for specific mRNA codon recognition, and the 3' end, to which the tRNAs corresponding amino acid is attached (by aminoacyl-tRNA synthetases). tRNAs cope with the degeneracy of the genetic code in two manners: having more than one tRNA (with a specific anti-codon) for a particular amino acid; and 'wobble' base-pairing, i.e. permitting non-standard base-pairing at the 3rd anti-codon position. The record is from RNAcentral. Lineage: Eukaryota; Metazoa; Chordata; Actinopteri; Argentiniformes; Bathylagidae.
GGUAAAGUGGCUGAGUAUUAAGUGGUGGAUUGUAGCUCCAUGAACAGAGGUUCAAUUCCUCUCUUUACCA